This is a non-coding RNA of Gorilla gorilla gorilla (western lowland gorilla), 112 nucleotides long. It matches the Rfam family "Y RNA". From Rfam's summary of the family: Y RNAs are components of the Ro ribonucleoprotein particle (Ro RNP), in association with Ro60 and La proteins. The record is from Rfam. NCBI's taxonomy places the organism in Eukaryota, Metazoa, Chordata, Mammalia, Primates, Hominidae.
GGGUGGUCCGAAGGUAGUGCCUUAUCUCAAUUGAUUGUUCACAGUCAGUUACAGAUCAAACUCCUUGCUCUGCUCCUUCCCUCUUCUCACUACUGCACUUGACCAGUCUAAA